UUUUGACCCAGACGAGUGUCUAAGACCCUUGAACUUUUUCAUCUGAAAGGAAAAUCGACCUUAAAUUUUAAGCAAAUUUCAUUGACAACCAUGAACAGUCGAGCAAAUUAACGAAACCAUAUCUUUUAUCCGAUGUAAAACUUCCUAACAAUCCAAAUCGUUUGACAUAUGCGACAAACACGUGCAACAGAAGAGUCAAGGUUGUCGGUCCACUGAGAUCAGAAAGCACAUCUCCAGACGGUCAAGAAAUCCCUGCUCGACUCCAAUCCCAGAAAUACUGCCAAGAUACUGAUAUCCAAGGUGACGCACUGGGGCCACUGAACUGUCAAAUAACAAUCAGAAGUCUGGAAAGAAGAGAUUCGGAAGCAAGGUGUUAUUAGCUCGAAAAACUUUGUAGAAUUUUCAGCUAUCUCACACGUCCUUGCGAGGUUAUAAUCAGUUAGAAUGCUACUUAAUGAUUAAAACUGUAUUUACCACUGUAAACUACAGAACACCCUCUAAU
This is a long non-coding RNA of Pocillopora verrucosa, 502 nucleotides long. RefSeq lists it as uncharacterized. The record is from RefSeq and is a predicted model, not a curated record. NCBI's taxonomy places the organism in Eukaryota, Metazoa, Cnidaria, Anthozoa, Scleractinia, Pocilloporidae.